This 69-nucleotide small RNA is filed under the name Klebsiella pneumoniae. RNAcentral's name for it is "partial RtT sRNA". It matches the Rfam family "RtT RNA", at positions 57 to 130 of the family's 130-position model. From Rfam's summary of the family: This family represents a bacterial cis-regulatory element known as RtT RNA. The record is from RNAcentral. Lineage: Bacteria; Pseudomonadati; Pseudomonadota; Gammaproteobacteria; Enterobacterales; Enterobacteriaceae.
GAAGGAUAACGUUGCGACAGCAACGGCCCGCAGGCGAGGCGAAGCCGAGUCAUCCUGCACGACCCACCA